This 87-nucleotide ribosomal RNA is filed under the name Ailuropoda melanoleuca (giant panda). The record is from RNAcentral. Lineage: Eukaryota; Metazoa; Chordata; Mammalia; Carnivora; Ursidae.
UCUACGACCAUACCACCCUGAACGCGCCCGAUCUCGGCUGAUCUCAGAAGCUAAGCAGGGUCGGGCCUGGUUAGUACUUGGAUGGGA